RNAcentral lists this transfer RNA (93 nucleotides) under Clostridioides difficile. RNAcentral's name for it is "tRNA-???(gt)". The record is from RNAcentral. Lineage: Bacteria; Bacillati; Bacillota; Clostridia; Peptostreptococcales; Peptostreptococcaceae. RNAcentral also lists the same sequence under 1 other name.
CGCGACGGUAGGCGGAGGUGGACACCGUCACCGUCGUCUCGGUGGGGCCGUAGAUGUUGCGGACCUGUGCGUGCUCGGACCACGUCGCGGCGA